This 603-nucleotide ribosomal RNA is filed under the name uncultured fungus. RNAcentral describes it as "eukaryotic LSU rRNA". It matches the Rfam family "Eukaryotic large subunit ribosomal RNA", at positions 23 to 641 of the family's 3401-position model. The record is from RNAcentral. Lineage: Eukaryota; Fungi.
ACCCGCUGAACUUAAGCAUAUCAAUAAGCGGAGGAAAAGAAACCAACAGGGAUUGCCCUAGUAACGGCGAGUGAAGCGGCAACAGCUCAAAUUUGAAAUCUGGCGUCUUUGGCGUCCGAGUUGUAAUUUGCAGAGGGCGCUUUGGCAUUGGCAGCGGUCCAAGUUCCUUGGAACGGGACGUCACAGAGGGUGAGAAUCCCGUACGUGGUCGCUAGCCUUUACCGUGUAAAGCCCCUUCGACGAGUCGAGUUGUUUGGGAAUGCAGCUCUAAAUGGGAGGUAAAUUUCUUCUAAAGCUAAAUACUGGCCAGAGACCGAUAGCGCACAAGUAGAGUGAUCGAAAGAUGAAAAGCACUUUGGAAAGAGAGUUAAAAAGCACGUGAAAUUGUUGAAAGGGAAGCGCUUGCAGCCAGACUUGCCUGUAGUUGCUCAUCCGGGUUUUUACCCGGUGCACUCUUCUAUAGGCAGGCCAGCAUCAGUUUGGGCGGUUGGAUAAAGGUCUCUGUCAUGUACCUCCUUUCGGGGAGGCCUUAUAGGGGAGACGACAUGCAACCAGCCUGGACUGAGGUCCGCGCAUCUGCUAGGAUGCUGGCGUAAUGGCUGU